RNAcentral lists this ribosomal RNA (234 nucleotides) under uncultured Lactobacillus sp. Its description in RNAcentral is "partial 16S ribosomal RNA". It matches the Rfam family "Bacterial small subunit ribosomal RNA", at positions 129 to 355 of the family's 1533-position model. The record is from RNAcentral. Lineage: Bacteria; Bacillati; Bacillota; Bacilli; Lactobacillales; Lactobacillaceae.
CCCAAGAGAUCGGGAUAACACCUGGAAAACAGAUGCUAAUACCGGAUAACAACAGAUGAUGCCUAUCAACUGUUUAAAAGAUGGUUCUGCUAUCACUCUUGGAUGGACCUGCGGUGCAUUAGCUAGUUGGUAGGGUAACGGCCUACCAAGGCGAUGAUGCAUAGCCGAGUUGAGAGACUGAUCGGCCACAUUGGGACUGAGACACUGCCCAAACUCCUACGGGAGGCAGCAGCA